AUUGAACGCUGGCGGAAUGCUUUACACAUGCAAGUCGAACGGCAGCACGGGGGCAACCCUGGUGGCGAGUGGCGAACGGGUGAGUAAUACAUCGGAACGUGCCCGGUCGUGGGGGAUAACGUAGCGAAAGUUACGCUAAUACCGCAUACGAUCUGAGGAUGAAAGCGGGGGACCUUCGGGCCUCGCGCGAUCGGAGCGGCCGAUGUCAGAUUAGGUAGCUGGUGGGGUAAAGGCCUACCAAGCCGACGAUCUGUAGCUGGUCUGAGAGGACGACCAGCCACACUGGGACUGAGACACGGCCCAGACUCCUACGGGAGGCAGCAGUGGGGAAUUUUGGACAAUGGGCGCAAGCCUGAUCCAGCCAUUCCGCGUGCAGGACGAAGGCCUUCGGGUUGUAAACUGCUUUUGUAUGGAACGAAAAGGCUCUGGCUAAUACCUGGGGCUCAUGACGGUACCGGAAGAAUAAGCACCGGCUAACUACGUG
This 484-nucleotide ribosomal RNA is filed under the name uncultured bacterium. RNAcentral's name for it is "partial 16S ribosomal RNA". It matches the Rfam family "Bacterial small subunit ribosomal RNA", at positions 29 to 507 of the family's 1533-position model. The record is from RNAcentral.